This 1051-nucleotide long non-coding RNA is filed under the name Callithrix jacchus (white-tufted-ear marmoset). RNAcentral's name for it is "lncRNA (ENSCJAG00000080459.1)". Lineage: Eukaryota; Metazoa; Chordata; Mammalia; Primates; Cebidae. The record is from RNAcentral.
CUGAGUCUAGUCUGAAUAAGAACAAUGCAGGCCAGGCUCAGUGGUUCACACCUAUAAUCCCAGCACUUUGGGAGGUAGAGGUGGGCAGAUGGAUCAUGAGGUCAAGAAAUGGAGACCAUCCUGGCCAACACGGUGAAACCCCGUUUCCACUAAAAAUACAAAAAUUACCUGGGCAUGGUGGUGUGUGCCUGUAAUCCCAGCUACUCAGAAGGCUGAGGCAGGAGAAUCACUUGAACCUGGGAGGCAAAGGUUUCAGUGAGCUGAAAUCUCGCCACCACAUUCCAGCCUGGGCGACAGAGAGAGACUUCAUCUCAAAAAAAAAAAAAAAGAAAAGAAAAGAAAAAGAAAAGAAAAAGAAAUAAAGAAAAGACCAAUGCUAACCCACUAUAAAUUAUGAACACAGUAGCUGUGUGAGAAGUAACAAUUAGUAAGAAGGGAGUAGGUGAAAGAAAAAUAAGUUAUCUCACUGUCCCUACCUUUCAAUAUUAGGACAUUUUCAAUUGGUGGGGGGUAGGGAGCAGUGUCAAAUUAUUAGCACUUUUUGUUAGUAAUACUUCUUUCUUUUUCUGAGAACAGAUAAAUCCAUUUUUUUUUUUUUUUUUGAGAUAGAAUCUCACUCUGUUGCCCAGUCUGCAGUGCAGUGGUGUGGUCUUGGCUCACUGCAACUUCUGCCUCUCAGCCUCCCAAGUAGCUGGGAUAACAGGUAUGUGCCACCAUGCCUGGCUAAUUUUUGUAUUUUUAGUAGCAACAGGAUUUCACCAUGUUGGCUAGGCUGGUCUUGAACUCCUGACCUCAAUUGAUUCACCUGCCUCAGCCUUUCAAAGCGCUGGGAUUACAGGCAUGAGCCACUGUGCCUGGCCCAAAUCCACUUUUUAACUUGUUCCUUCUUUCUCUCACUAUUCUGGAUAUUGUACAUCUUGGUUUUUCUUUUCUCUUUUUGUGGUCCUUUCUUUUUUUUUUUUUUAUUUUUUAUUUUGAGACAGAGUCUCACUCUGUCGCCCAGGCUGGAGUGCAAUGGAGUGAUUUUGGCUCACUGCAACCUCCGCCUCCU